This 23-nucleotide small nuclear RNA is filed under the name Arabidopsis thaliana (thale cress). Its description in RNAcentral is "snRNA_17573". Lineage: Eukaryota; Viridiplantae; Streptophyta; Magnoliopsida; Brassicales; Brassicaceae. The record is from RNAcentral.
AAAACUCUUAUGAACCCUUACAA